UAAACUAGGAUUAGAUACCCUAUUAUUUUAGAUGUAAAAUUUAUAAUACUGAAUUAGUAGUAGUUAUUUUCUUGAAAAUUAAAAAAUUUGGCGGUAUUUUAGUCUUUUCAGAGGAAUCUGUCCUGUAAUUGAUAGUCCACGAUUAAAUUUACUUUAUUUAUUAGUUUACAUAUCAUCGUAGUUUGAAUAUUUUAAUAGAAAUUUAAUAUUCAAGAUUUUAAAUUAAAAAAUAAAUCAGAUCAAGGUGUAGUUUAUAGUAAAGAAGAGAUGGAUUACAAUAAAUUUAUUUAAGAAUAAUUUUUUAUAAAAAAAAUUUGAAUAUGGAUUUGAUAGUAAUUGAAAAUAUAUUUUUAAAAUGAUUAUAGCUCUA
RNAcentral lists this ribosomal RNA (370 nucleotides) under Bruchidius pardellus. RNAcentral describes it as "partial 12S ribosomal RNA". Lineage: Eukaryota; Metazoa; Arthropoda; Insecta; Coleoptera; Chrysomelidae. The record is from RNAcentral.